Molecule: ribosomal RNA, 753 nt
Filed under: Staphylococcus pseudintermedius
Lineage: Bacteria; Bacillati; Bacillota; Bacilli; Caryophanales; Staphylococcaceae
Description: partial 23S ribosomal RNA
Rfam family: Bacterial large subunit ribosomal RNA
Source: RNAcentral
CCCCAGUAAACGGCGGCCGUAACUAUAACGGUCCUAAGGUAGCGAAAUUCCUUGUCGGGUAAGUUCCGACCCGCACGAAAGGCGUAACGAUUUGGGCACUGUCUCAACGAGAGACUCGGUGAAAUCAUAGUACCGGUGAAGAUGCCGGUUACCCGCGACAGGACGGAAAGACCCCGUGGAGCUUUACUGUAGCCUGAUAUUGAAAUUCGGUACAGUUUGUACAGGAUAGGUAGGAGCCUUAGAAGCGUGAGCGCUAGCUUACGUGGAGGCAUUGGUGGGAUACUACCCUAAUUGUAUUGGAUUUCUAACCCGCAGCACUUAUCGUGCUGGGAGACAGUGUCAGGCGGGCAGUUUGACUGGGGCGGUCGCCUCCUAAAGAGUAACGGAGGCGCUCAAAGGUUCCCUCAGAAUGGUUGGAAAUCAUUCAUAGAGUGUAAAGGCAUAAGGGAGCUUGACUGCGAGACCUACAAGUCGAGCAGGGUCGAAAGACGGACUUAGUGAUCCGGUGGUUCCGCAUGGAAGGGCCAUCGCUCAACGGAUAAAAGCUACCCCGGGGAUAACAGGCUUAUCUCCCCCAAGAGUUCACAUCGACGGGGAGGUUUGGCACCUCGAUGUCGGCUCAUCGCAUCCUGGGGCUGUAGUCGGUCCCAAGGGUUGGGCUGUUCGCCCAUUAAAGCGGUACGCGAGCUGGGUUCAGAACGUCGUGAGACAGUUCGGUCCCUAUCCGUCGUGGGCGUAGGAAAUUUGAGAGGA